Long non-coding RNA from Mastomys coucha (southern multimammate mouse), 758 nucleotides. RefSeq lists it as uncharacterized. Lineage: Eukaryota; Metazoa; Chordata; Mammalia; Rodentia; Muridae. The record is from RefSeq and is a predicted model, not a curated record. The transcript is spliced from 3 exons.
CCGCUGGCAUGCUAAGGCCCUGGAAAGAAAGCUUCUAGCAUGCCUACAGGGGACACACUUACUGCCUAGCUCCCUGUAAAGAACAGCUCUGGAGACACAAACAUCUCCAGCAAGGCUCGCCUUGAACUCUUCAGCUUCCUGCUCCCACCUUUUGAGUGCUGAGAUUUAUAGGUGUGUCCAUCACGCCAGGCAUCAAGCAACCGAGCACUUCAUAUGUGCCAAGCACUGCCCUAUGCUCCACUGACUACAGAGCUGAAGGCUGUCUUUCUUGGGGUGGAUGCCGUCGGGGAAGAUGUCUCAGAAGGGAUGCAUGAGAAUGCAGGCCUUGUUGGGACAGCUGGAAAUUCCCUGCUAAAGGAUAACAGAAAAUGACAAGUCUGAAUUCUCAAGUCUGAAUCCUGAGUGCAGUUGCUUGUUCUUUGUCUCUGUAUGAGUGCUGGGGACUGAACCCUCACAUCUGUGAGUCAGGGAAGCCACUGAUGAGCUGUGUACCUGCCCCUCCACAGCUUAAAGAGUAGCAUCUUCCUCGAUGAGGCUGGAGGCCAGCUCGAACCCCUACUAGCCUGCUUUCCUCACCCUCUCAGGUAGAAAAAGAGCUCCCCACAAGGUGUGGGCUGAGCAGUCUCCCUAGACUCCAAGUGGCUGGCCACAUCAUUCCGAAAGUUCCUCGACCAUCAAGGGGUUUCCAGUUACUUCAUACAGGUCCCUGUCCCUGUUCCGCACUCCUGGCGAAAUAAAACAUUCCCAUGAAACUCAGG